GGUUAGUCGGGUCCUAAGCUGAGGCCGACAGGCGUAGGCGAUGGAUAACAGGUUGAUAUUCCUGUACCACCUAUAAUCGUUUUAAUCGAUGGGGGGACGCAGUAGGAUAGGCGAAGCGUGCGAUUGGAUUGCACGUCUAAGCAGUAAGGCUGAGUAUUAGGCAAAUCCGGUACUCGUUAAGGCUGAGCUGUGAUGGGGAGAAGACAUUGUGUCUUCGAGUCGUUGAUUUCACACUGCCGAGAAAAGCCUCUAGAUAGAAAAUAGGUGCCCGUACCGCAAACCGACACAGGUAGUCAAGAUGAGAAUUCUAAGGUGAGCGAGCGAACUCUCGUUAAGGAACUCGGCAAAAUGACCCCGUAACUUCGGGAGAAGGGGUGCUCUUUAGGGUUAACGCCCAGAAGAGCCGCAGUGAAUAGGCCCAAGCGACUGUUUAUCAAAAACACAGGUCUCUGCUAAACCGUAAGGUGAUGUAUAGGGGCUGACGCCUGCCCGGUGCUGGAAGGUUAAGAGGAGUGGUUAGCUUCUGCGAAGCUACGAAUCGAAGCCCCAGUAAACGGCGGCCGUAACUAUAACGGUCCUAAGGUAGCGAAAUUCCUUGUCGGGUAAGUUCCGACCCGCACGAAAGGCGUAACGAUUUGGGCACUGUCUCAACGAGAGACUCGGUGAAAUCAUAGUACCUGUGAAGAUGCAGGUUACCCGCGACAGGACGGAAAGACCCCGUGGAGCUUUACUGUAGCCUGAUAUUGAAAUUCGGCACAGCUUGUACAGGAUAGGUAGGAGCCUUUGAAACGUGAGCGCUAGCUUACGUGGAGGCGCUGGUGGGAUACUACCCUAGCUGUGUUGGCUUUCUAACCCGCACCACUUAUCGUGGUGGGAGACAGUGUCAGGCGGGCAGUUUGACUGGGGCGGUCGCCUCCUAAAAGGUAACGGAGGCGCUCAAAGGUUCCCUCAGAAUGGUUGGAAAUCAUUCAUAGAGUGUAAAGGCAUAAGGGAGCUUGACUGCGAGACCUACAAGUCGAG
Molecule: ribosomal RNA, 1020 nt
Filed under: Staphylococcus aureus
Lineage: Bacteria; Bacillati; Bacillota; Bacilli; Caryophanales; Staphylococcaceae
Description: partial 23S ribosomal RNA
Rfam family: Bacterial large subunit ribosomal RNA
Source: RNAcentral